This 115-nucleotide non-coding RNA is filed under the name Gynuella sunshinyii. RNAcentral's name for it is "TPP sequence". It matches the Rfam family "TPP riboswitch aptamer (THI element)". From Rfam's summary of the family: Vitamin B(1) in its active form thiamin pyrophosphate (TPP) is an essential coenzyme that is synthesised by coupling of pyrimidine and thiazole moieties in bacteria. RNAcentral also lists the same sequence under 1 other name. The record is from RNAcentral. Lineage: Bacteria; Pseudomonadati; Pseudomonadota; Gammaproteobacteria; Oceanospirillales; Saccharospirillaceae.
CCCGUCUCAUCGGGGUGCCAUGAUAACUGACAGAAAUCGACGUUCCAUGGCUGAGAGUUUACCCGUAGAACCUGAUCCAGUUAAUACUGGCGUAGGAAAUGGGCUAUCUCUGCAG